RNAcentral lists this ribosomal RNA (253 nucleotides) under uncultured bacterium. RNAcentral describes it as "partial 16S ribosomal RNA". It matches the Rfam family "Bacterial small subunit ribosomal RNA", at positions 524 to 776 of the family's 1533-position model. The record is from RNAcentral.
UACAGAGGGUGCGAGCGUUAAUCGGAAUUACUGGGCGUAAAGCGUGCGUAGACGGUUAUUUAAGUCGGAUGUGAAAGCCCCGGGCUCAACCUGGGAAUUGCAUUCGAGACUGAAUAGCUAGGGUACGGUAGAGGGAAGUGGAAUUUCCGGUGUAGCGGUGAAAUGCGUAGAUAUCGGAAGGAACAUCAGUGGCGAAAGCGGCUCUCUGGGACGGUACUGACGCUGAGACGCGAAAGCGUGGGGAGCGAACAGG